RNAcentral lists this ribosomal RNA (497 nucleotides) under uncultured bacterium. Its description in RNAcentral is "partial 16S ribosomal RNA". It matches the Rfam family "Bacterial small subunit ribosomal RNA", at positions 28 to 507 of the family's 1533-position model. The record is from RNAcentral.
GAUGAACGCUGGCGGCGUGCCUAAUACAUGCAAGUCGAGCGAACGGACGAGAAGCUUGCUCCUCUGACGUUAGCGGCGGACGGGUGAGUAACACGUGGAUAACCUACCUAUAAGACUGGGAUAACUUCGGGAAACCGGAGCUAAUACCGGAUAAUAUAUUGAACCGCAUGGUUCAAUAGUGAAAGACGGUUUUGCUGUCACUUAUAGAUGGAUCCGCGCUGCAUUAGCUAGUUGGUAAGGUAACGGCUUACCAAGGCGACGAUGCAUAGCCGACCUGAGAGGGUGAUCGGCCACACUGGAACUGAGACACGGUCCAGACUCCUACGGGAGGCAGCAGUAGGGAAUCUUCCGCAAAGGGCGAAAGCCUGACGGAGCAACGCCGCGUGAGUGAUGAAGGUCUUCGGAUCGUAAAACUCUGUUAUUAGGGAAGAACAAAUGUGUAAGUAACUAUGCACGUCUUGACGGUACCUAAUCAGAAAGCCACGGCUAACUACGUG